This 523-nucleotide ribosomal RNA is filed under the name uncultured bacterium. Its description in RNAcentral is "partial 16S ribosomal RNA". It matches the Rfam family "Bacterial small subunit ribosomal RNA", at positions 355 to 868 of the family's 1533-position model. The record is from RNAcentral.
UGGGGAAUAUUGCACAAUGGGCGCAAGCCUGAUGCAGCCAUGCCGCGUGUGUGAAGAAGGCCUUCGGGUUGUAAAGCACUUUCAGCGAGGAGGAAGGUGGUGAGCUUAAUACGCUCAUCAAUUGACGUUACUCGCAGAAGAAGCACCGGCUAACUCCGUGCCAGCAGCCGCGGUAAUACGGAGGGUGCAAGCGUUAAUCGGAAUUACUGGGCGUAAAGCGCACGCAGGCGGUUUGUUAAGUCAGAUGUGAAAUCCCCGGGCUCAACCUGGGAACUGCAUUUGAAACUGGCAAGCUAGAGUCUCGUAGAGGGGGGUAGAAUUCCAGGUGUAGCGGUGAAAUGCGUAGAGAUCUGGAGGAAUACCGGUGGCGAAGGCGGCCCCCUGGACGAAGACUGACGCUCAGGUGCGAAAGCGUGGGGCAGCAAACAGGAUUAGAUACCCUGGUAGUCCAGCGCUGUAAACGAUGUCGAUUUGGAGGUUGUGCCCUUGAGGCGUGGCUUCCGGAGCUAACGCGUUAAAUCGA